GACGAACGCUGGCGGCGUGCUUAACACAUGCAAGUCGAACGGUAAGGCCCUGCUUUUGUGGGGUGCUCGAGUGGCGAACGGGUGAGUAACACGUGAGUAACCUGCCCUUUACUUUGGGAUAACUUCAGGAAACUGGUGCUAAUACCGGAUAUGAGCUCCUGCUGCAUGGUGGGGGGUGGAAAGGUGCGGCGGUUGGGGAUGGAUUCGCGGCUUAUUAGCUUGUUGGUGGGGUAGUGGUUGACCAAGGCUGUGACGGGUAGCCGGCCUGAGGGGGUGGCCGGCCACAUUGGGACUGAGAUACGGCCCAGACUCCUACGGGAGGCAGCAGUGGCAAAUAUUGCACAAUGGGCGGAAGCCUGAUGCAGCAGCGCCGCGUGCGGGAUGACGGCCUUCGGGUUGUAAACAGCUUUAGCCUGUGACGAAGCGUGAGUGACGGUAAUGGGUAAAGAAGCACCGGCUAACUACGUG
This 468-nucleotide ribosomal RNA is filed under the name uncultured bacterium. RNAcentral's name for it is "partial 16S ribosomal RNA". It matches the Rfam family "Bacterial small subunit ribosomal RNA", at positions 28 to 507 of the family's 1533-position model. The record is from RNAcentral.